This 4475-nucleotide long non-coding RNA is filed under the name Gossypium barbadense (sea-island cotton). Its description in RNAcentral is "long non-coding RNA (GBAR_LNC019695)". The record is from RNAcentral. Lineage: Eukaryota; Viridiplantae; Streptophyta; Magnoliopsida; Malvales; Malvaceae.
AUUAAAGAAAGAAAAAUACAUUUUCUCUCCAUCUUCUUCUUCAUGUCGUGGGUAAAGGAAGAAAAUAGGGCUUCAACACAUUCGACCCUUGUUUGGUAUGUGAUUUUAAGUUUUUUUCUUGUAAUUUUUAUAUUUUUGAGGUCAUGAGUUUCACUUGCUAGCCCAUGUACCAAUUUGUAAAACUGUUAAAGUAUUUGAAAGUUGUCAUAGUUGAGUUCUUGAAGAUUUUGGUGUUAAAUUAAUAGAUUUUAAACUUAGAUGUGAAAAAGGACUAAAUUGUAAUGAUUAAUCGUUAGUUUUUGUACUUAAUGAAUAAAGUGAAUAAAUUGUAAUUUUUUGUUCAAUUUCUAUAAUAAUUGAUAGUAGAGGGUCCCUGAUGGAUGUGAUUAAGAUCGAUUUUGAAAUCGAAGCUCAAACUUGAAAGAUAUUGUUAUUUCGAUUUUAGUGACUAAAUUGAAUAAAAUGCAAAAUUUAAGGGGCAUACAAAAAAUCAAAUUAAAUCGGUUCAUGCAUAUCAUGGAAUGAUAUAAAAUGUUUGGUAUUGAUGAAUUGUUUAAAAUAAUUGUUUAGAUCAAGAAUUGAAUCAAACUAGAGAUAAUUAGGAAAAAGCCAAAAUUAUCGAUUAGUCCUUAAAGGUUCAACUUAUUUUUUUUUGCUAGGUAAGUUCAUAUGGUUUAAAUUUUUUUUAAAUUGUUAUGUAUUUGAGUUGUGUAUCUAUGCUUGAUUGUGAAGUGAUUGUGGUAAAUUUGUAUAAAUGUGAGUUUUGGACUAAAUUGUAAAGAAAGGUUAAUUUGUGUAAUAGAUGCUUGUAUAAACUUAGUAAAGGUUAGGAUACGAUUGACAUGCAAAUAGGUACUUAUGCAGGCUUGUAUAGGAUAAGAUUUUGUAUAGAGGUUGUCACAGGUUAAAUCAAGAUCUAGCAUUUGUUGUAGAUCAUCGAAUAUUAUUCGUCUCUACAAAGACCGUAGUGUGGUGAAAAGGUAUAUUAGCAUGUGAAUAUGCAUAUGAUGUCUACGAGCUUUGCACUUUGGUGCCCUAGUGUGGUGUUAUUUCAACUUGAAAAAGCAACUUGGUGUAGUUUAUUUUCUUGAGUAUCCGAGUCCAUUUACUAGGGUUCAUCGGGCGGUGUAGUUAUAUGAAAUGAGAAAUUGAAAUGACAUGAAAUGAGUUCAAUGUUAAAAUGAUAGAUUAUUCAAUUAUUUCAGUAUGAAGCCUUUGGUAUAUAUGUGAUUACAUCACUCUUGAAUUGAAUAAGAUUUAAGUUUGUUACCUAUUGUGACAUGAAAUGGUAUGUUAAAUACUUGUGAUAUUACAUGGUUUGAUUAUAUGUUAAACUCACCUUAUUAAUGUAGUAUUUUUCCAUGACAAGCCAACUAUGUCAAAUUAUGGUAGCUUAAUGUAGUAAAUUGAAAGAUAACGUAAUUAUUAUUUAAUACCUAAGAACUUACUAAGCAUUUUAUAGGCUUACCCCAUUUAUUUCCUCUUUUCCCUUGUAGAUCGUUACUACCACACUCGAAUUCACAGAAUUACCUGAACUCUAAGAGGAGUUAGGGAGAUGAUUGAAUAGUAAUGGAAAGUUGGGGGCACUAGUGAUGAAAUUAGAAAAUUUAAAGGCUAGUUAGAAGGAGAUUGGACACCUAAUCUGGUUUAGUUGGAUUGAGACUAGCUAGAUACAUAGCGGGAAACAUAAUAAUUAGAAUUGUGCAAUAGUGAUGGUCUGUGAAGAUCGUACCAUGAGAAUAUAUAUAGGUAGGAGGAUGAGAGAAUGAGGGAUUUCCAUAAGCUUGUUUACCCCUUUUUCCCUUCUAAAUUAUCAUAUUCUUCAUCUAUCUUGAAGGAGAAGAAGUCGUAGGCGUGGGAGACUCUGCAUGUCGCAGUAGUCAUAGGCAUGGAUGUCCUAAAUGAUGAAAUAUCAAGGGAAAGUUGCUAGGUCUAAGGAAACCCUAGCAUUCGGGCAAGCCUCGGUAAAUAAGGAUAAAGAAAUAAUGUGAGUUUCUACAUCUUGCUUCUGGGUGAUGAAAGAUGUUACGUUGCUUGCAUGAACUAGGGAAUGUAUGAGUAAUCUGCGCAUAAGUAGGAUAGUAGUACCAUGACAGGCUGUUUUUUAUUGCCUUAAGGUAGAUGAUGAUUAGAUACAUGCAUUGCAUGACUGGGAAAAAACCUCAAGGGGAUAGGUGAAGGUAGGAAGGGAAUGGGGAGUGAACCAUUAGUUAUUGCCUUGGGCGAAGAGAUAAUGUGAGGAGGAUUCAAGAAAUGGAAUAUGGAAUAGUAAUUACCGUGAAGAAUGUAUCAACUAGUCCUUAAAGGCGACACCGUGAAUAUGGUAUAUGGCGUAAUAAUAUGAAUGAAAGAUGCCAUGGCAGUCUGGUAUGAGUAACUUAGCGUAAGACUGUAUGAAAGAUGUCAUGGCAGUAUAGUACACGGUAACGAUAUAUGGCGUAAGACUGAAUGUAACAACCUAUUUUUAGUAAAAUUAGAACAGUGGUUUCGGGACCACAAAUUCAAGGUCAGAAAUUUAUUUUAAUAUUAUUUUAUGAUCUACAGCACGAUAGUGUUACCGUAUAAAAAUUUUGUUAAGAAAUUUUAACGUUUACAUGUUCAAUUUGGUAAAAAUGACUAAAUCGUGUAAAGUGCAAAAGUUGUGUUCUAUUAGUCACUGGUAUUAAAUAGCUAUAGAACUUUAAAGUGGAGGUCCUUAAAUGGUAAUUAGACCAUUAAAGGUGAUAAUGUAUGUUCAUGGCUUGGCAAUUGUGAAAAUUUUAAAGUUAGGUAAGGGUAAUUUUGUAAAUAGGUAAAAAGUGAUCAAAUAAAUAAAACAAAAAUUAAAAGCCUUCAUCUUUAUUGUUUCUUCUUUAACCAAUUAUACAAGUAAGAAAGAGCCAUGGAAGCUUAAAAAUUUUAGCUAGGUAAAUCCCUUGCAUGUAAGUGCAUUUUGUCCCGUUUUUAAUGAUUUUUAUGUUUUCGGGAUCGUUGUAGCUUAACCUAGCUAGCCCGGGGACUAAUUUGCAAAAUGGUUGAAUGCCUAGAGUUUUACCAUGAGUGCAUUUUAGUUGUUUGUGAAGUUGAAUAGAAGAAAAUGAAUCAUUAUUGUUAGAUAAAUAACUUUUGUUAAGUGAUUUUUGAUAAAUUUAUCAAUUAGGGUUAAAUUAGAAAAUAUGAAAUAUCAUGGUGUAAUUUGUGAAUUAAUGAAAUGUGUGGGCUGCUAUAAUCUAGUAUGAUAUUCGGCUAGGCUUAGGUAGGGAUGAAAUUGCAUGAAUUUCAUUUUACAAGCCUAAGGACUAAAUUGUAAAGAAAUCAAAAGUAUAUGGGCAAAAUGGUAAUUUUUCCAAAACAUGAUUUUUGGAUUGAAUUUAAUAGAAUGAGGUCUGAAUUAGUUAAAUUUGAUUAUAUAGAUCAGGAAAAGCAACGUAUGGAUUUAGAUCGGGUAAAAUAAAAAGUACAAGAUUAAUCGAUCGUUUUCCUCCGUACAAGUUUGAGGUAAGUUCGUAUGUUUAAUAAGGAUUAAAUUAUAUUUGAUUUAAAGGCUUUUAUAUUAUAUUCUUGGUAUUACGACUCUACGAAAAUAUCCAACAAAGUUUCGGCGAGCUAAGAAUCUCGUUUGAACAUUAGGAAUAAAUAGGAUACAAAUGACAUGUCAUUAGGGGUUACCGUGUUUUGGGUGCUAGUCUCGUACGUCCUACCGGUGGCUGAGUUUUUGGCAUGUGUUGCAGUUACUUGAAAGCUUGUGUGAGUAGCACUGUGUAGCUACGUCCUGACUGACAGCUUGUGUGAGAAGGCCUAUUUAUGGCUCGAGAGAGAGAAUUUAUAUGAGAUAUGAGAUAGUAGUGGUUUUGACCACGUGUUGGCACAUAGUGUGCGAGAUUCCCGCGUAUCCGAUAUUAUUCUAAGUGGUUCAACGGGUACAGUUUUGUUUCAAGGUUAUAUGAGUUCGAUACGAACUGGUACAUGUAUUUACGUGAAUUACAUGGAAAUGGUUUAUAAAUGAUAUAUAAACGCAUGGUAUAGAUGUUUCAUGUAUAUGGAAUUUAAAUAGUUAUUGAACUCAUAUAUGAUUCUUGGUUUUUAUAUGAAUACAUGGCUAACUUGGUUGAUGAAUAUUUGUUAGGCUUUUGGGCCAAAUUGAGUUGUAAUAUGCUUUGAUUUACUUACCUAAAUUAUGGUUAAAUGGUAAGUUAAAUUUUGAGUUAUACGAACUUACUAAGCUUAAAUGCUUACCUUGUGUUAUUUUUUUCGUGUUUUAUAGUGGUCCGGAAGCUCGUUCGAGUUGAAAGUUGUCGGAAAUUUUAUCACACUGUCUAUCGGCUAUUUUAGUACUUAUGGUAAUAUAAUUUUGGUUCUAAUGGCAUGUAUAGGUCAUUUUGGCUAAUGAUAGCCUACAUGUUUUGUUAUGUUUAUAACCAUUUGAUGUGACUUAUAUUUUGGAUAUAUUUUGUUAUGUAUAUAUGUAAAUGGCCUUAUCAUAUAUGGUAUAUGGG